CGGCGAGUGAAGAGGGAUUAGCCCAGCACCGAAGCCUGCGGCAGUUUUGCUGUUAGGCAAUGUGGUGUUCGGGUCGGCUAGCGGGAUCGUAACUCCACUCGAAGUCCAGCAUUGAGUAUGGUUAUUAUUGGAUUUGGCCCAUAGAGGGUGAGAGGCCCGUACGAGUGGAGGUGCAGACAUGUAAUACGGUUCACCAGGUCGGCCUUAGAGUCGGGUUGUUUGAGAUUGCAGCCCAAAGUGGGUGGUAAACUCCAUCCAAGGCUAAAUACAGGCACGAGUCCGAUAGCGAACAAGUACCGUGAGGGAAAGUUGAAAAGUACUCUGAAGAGAGAGUAAACAGUACGUGAAACCGCAUGCAGGUAAACGGGUGGCGUCAAACCGCGAGCCCGGAGAAUUCAGCUGACUAGAUUGUAUUGGCAUUGCAUUAAUGGUCUGCUCUCUUUUUGUGAGAGUAGAGUGAGGUAUGAGGUGUGUGUGGUGUGUAUGUGAGUUGAGUGUUACGCACUUGUGGUGUAGCAUUUACUCUAGCAUGCCUUAGCCGCCCUCUUCCAAGCUAUACGUGCCGGGUGGGUGCCGGAGUAUGCCAUUAGUGUAUAGGGUCAACUAGUCAGUGCAAUUUCUCUGUGGUGAACAUCACGACCGAUGGAAUUGCCAGUCUAUCGUGGUCAAGUCGUGCUUAUGUGACUAUUAGAAGGGUGGCUUGUCUACCUCUCUCUAAUGUGGUUACGUAGGCGUGAUCGCAGGUGGAGCGAGUAAACGGCGUAGUGUUACUUCGGUAUUGCUACGUGCUAUCGUGUACUUACCAUCAACAAAUUGUUGUGUAAUAGUGUGCUUUAAUUACUUAAUAAUUUGGCGGACUGCGAUGGUAAAAAUGACUGUGCAAGGCAUCGGCUUUAUCCACCUCACACAUUUACGUUUAUGCGUAUUUGUGCUUAUGUAUCUGGCAGACUUACGCACAUAAGUCUUUAUAGAGAUUCAUUGCCGUGUAUAUACAUUAUGCGUGAUUGUCGUUUUGCCUACAAAAAAGUAGGUGCGGCASUGGUAUAGUGUAUUUUUAAAAAUAUACGGUUUUUAAAUGUUAUCUCUAAUGCAUAUGAUACAGUGGGUGUAAUAGUCAGUGAUGCUGUGGUAGACGAGCUACCCGACCCGUCUCGAAACACGGACCAAGGAGUUUAACAUGUGUGCGAGUCAAAGGGCUUUACGAAACCCCAAGGCGCAGUGAAAGUAAAAAUUGUAUUUAUUUACAAUGAGGUGAGAUCUUACUGUGCUUUAUUAUUAUUAUAAAAGUAGAGUGAGCGCAUCACCGGCCCGUCCCAUGAUGUAGUCAUUAGCAUUGAUAUAUGUGUGUGUGUAUAUUACUACUACUACUACAAAUAUCAGCUAAUGCAUCAUCGGGGCGGAGCAUGAGCACACACGUUGAGACCCGAAAGAUGGUGAACUAUGCUUGCGUAGGUUGAAGCCAGAGGAAACUCUGGUGGAGGACCGUAGCGAUUCUGACGUGCAAAUCGAUCGUCAAACGUGAGUAUAGGGGCGAAAG
RNAcentral lists this ribosomal RNA (1537 nucleotides) under Meggittina sp. W48. RNAcentral describes it as "partial large subunit ribosomal RNA". It matches the Rfam family "Eukaryotic large subunit ribosomal RNA", at positions 87 to 929 of the family's 3401-position model. Lineage: Eukaryota; Metazoa; Platyhelminthes; Cestoda; Cyclophyllidea; Catenotaeniidae. The record is from RNAcentral.